CCCCCCCCUCCUUCGCCAACGUCCUACGCACAAGGAGUGCCAACGUCCCCAUCCCGGCACCAUCCGGCCUGGUACUGGCAGUUUACCAACUGAGGCCGGUCAAACGACGAUAAAGACUGCAGAGGACACAAAAUCGGUGAUCAAGCAGGCGGUGAACCCCAAGGUAGUAGGUGUGCAGGUAGAGCGAGUGCGCAAAAUAGGCAACGCGGGGAUCCUCGUUCAGACCACUAGUGAGGCAAGAUAUAAAGAGAUACUAGUGCUACACUUUUAAAAAUAAUAAUUUUACUCCUUAUAAUUAAGUCUAUAGGAGUUGAUCACAAUAAUCUAACAGUGCUCCUUCAUGGAGGUAAUUCUGUUGAAGGUGACGACAAUAGUGACCGCGGGCCCACGCCGUCUUGCCUCUGUUCCUCUUUCCUCGUAUCAGUAUCCAUAUAGCCAUAGCUUUGUACAACCUGAUCGCCUCGGAACGAAAUAAUUUGCUUUCGUGUCUCGUAUUAUGUCCUUCACGUUGGUGAAUCCGCAUUCAGCAGUAAGUCCUCGCAGCCGCGCUGCCCAUUACUGAUGUGUUUCACCUUGUAGUUGUACUGACGAGUAAAACUUUUGUCGUUCACUAAACCUACACUUUUUGGGUGUAAAGUGAUAAUCAAGUAUCUUGACUACGUCUUCAUAAGGAACGUCUUGUAAAUAAUCCUUAGAGCCGCCAUACACGGACUGCUUCAAGCAGACAGUGCCAGCAUCUUUAAGCGGUCGCCGUUGCGUCAUCUGCAGUUUCAAUACAAAAUAGUCAUUCGCAAUACACGAACCGCUCAAGCAGUUGCAACUGCUUCGGGCGGUUGGCCGCGCGGUGAAAUUUCAUCAUGCGGUCAAGCAGUCGCCAGGCAUACACUGACUGCUCGAGCUGUCAACUGCUCUUGCGCAGUUACCCACCCGCGCUCAUUCUGAGUCACGCUCGCUUCCCGCCCGCACGCGUCGUUUGUUUAUUGAGAAAAAAGGAAGGCAAUAUCGACUGUGAAGCGCUUAUAAGUGCAAUAAAAUCACAAGAACUUAUAUGGAAUUAUAAACUUGAUGACCACAGUGACAGAAUAAAGAAAAAUAAUGCAUGGGCAGCUAUUUGUGAACAACUAAUAGAAAACUUUAACGAAAAACCGGUGGCGGAUAACAAUAAAAUUGCCAUGGCAUUACAGAAGAAAUGGAAAGUGUUAAGAGAUGGGUUUAGAAGGUAUGCGAAAAAAAUCAAACCAAAGAGUGAUUCAGCAGCCACCAAGAUACGACCCUACCCAUAUUAUGAGCAGUUAUUAUUUUUAAAGGUCAUUGAGGCUAGACCAGAGAAAUCAGAUAGUUUGAAAGAAACAUGUGAAGAAAGCGAUCAUAAUAAAGAAUCUGCAAAAAAAAAUUUAGUACUUUAAAACGAAAACUAACUAAUAAAACUGAAGACGACCUAAUUGAAAAAUUAUAUAAACGCAUUGAUGAAAAACCCAGUUCAAAGCUUCCAGUAGAGGAUGAUGACAAAAUGUUCUUACUAUCACUAGCUGGAGAGUUCAAAAAUAUUAAAGAUCAAUAUAAAUUAGAUGCCAAGUCAGAAAUCAUCAACCUAAUUAAAUACUUUAAAGGAAUAUCACAGCAUACACAGUCAAGCUAUUAUGGUGAAGGAAUAUCACAGCAUACACAGUCAAGCUAUUAUGGUGAAAGUAGGGGAUAUUUUGCACCUUCAACUAAUGAGCCCGUGGACACAAUUAUUCAAUGAGCAACGUGGAACAACGUGGUUACAACUAUUCAAGUUACAACAAGGGUUAUCAAUCGGCACCUUCUACAAGUGAUCAGCUUUCACCACUAGUCUCAGCUAAUGAUGAGUUUUCUCAAUCAUCCUUUGAAGACAGUCAUCCACCUUCGUCUGUUCGAUCUGAUGAUAUUAUUAGUUGAUAUAUUCAAUGAUUAAAUAAUAAAUUUAGAAAGUUAACAUUUGUUUUUUUACUUACCUUAGUGUUACAGCUAGCCUUUCUUCUGGAGGAAUACUUUUCCUCAUAAUAGUAUCGUCACGUUUAAUUUUUUCCUUGAGUAUAUUACAAAGUUCAUCAAAAGAUGAGAUUGACAUUCUAAAAUAAUUAAAAAACUUUUCUUUGUCAAGUCUUAGUUCCAAAAACAAGUGAUUAAAUUCUCCCUUGGAAUUUCGUGUUUCCAAUAUUGGAUGCACCCACAAUUUUCUUUUUUUACGCCGCCGUCGUCGUCGUAUGAGCAAAAGCAGUAGAAGUGCUUCCUCCUCAAAAUCCAUGAUGCUACUGAUUGAAAUUGCCAACUGCUCGAGCAGUUAGACUAACUGCUCGAGCUGUUAUAAACGGUAGCUACAAGCUGUUGACUCUGACUGCACGAGCGGUCCGUGUAUGUUGAUCACUGGACUACUGCUCGAGCGGCCCGUGUAUGGAGUACCUUAGGUAAGGCGAGGUCUGAAACCAGUUUGUAGGUGGCUUCCGUGAGUGCGCUCAGCAAGAUUGCUCGUCUUUUUUUUCGAGUAGCAAAGAUUUUUCAUCCAUAUCAUUCGCAAUAAACCACUGUGAUAGUCUACUUUUCAUCCUUAUCCGCCAUCCGAAACUCGCAAGGUUUUUUUUUGGGUAUUCGUCGCCACUGUAAAGUAUGCAAUACGGGACAUGAGAAACAAACGCUGGUAGCGCACUGAUUUAUUAGGCAUCGACAUGGGCGAUACUGGCAAAAACUAAGAGAAAUGCAUAAAUAUGUAACGCGACUAAAGCGUAGAUGUGUAGGUGUAUACUAUGCGCUACUAAAAAAAAAUGUCCUAUAUUUUCCUUAUAGUGUAGUGUAGGUGCACUAUAGAUAAUCCACUAAUUAACAUGAAAAUCUACACAACGUCACUUCAACUUCCUACAUAGAAAAUAUAGACGAACACAAUUUAUUGCUGGCGGAUGGCGUUACAUGUGAAUUUGUUAGAAGCUCGCCUUCUUCAAGAGGAAUUCCGCAAGAACGGAGAAUCGCCAGCGCGUGUUGUUUUAAAAUAAUCCUAAAAUGAAGAAAAAGUGUCAUUACUAUAAAAACCUUGGACAUAUUAAAGCAAAGUGAAACUCUUACCAUCUUAGAGGCUCUUAGUAAAGAUGUGACCUACGAUCAAUUGGUUGAAGCGUUGGAAUCGAGAUAUGGUGAUUCUCAUCUGGAACAUGUAUUUCGUGCUCAGUUAAAGGAUCGAGACCAACGCAGCUCCGAAAACCUACAGCAGUGGGCUCUGCCAAACCAAUGACCACUCGUAAACGGAAACUACAAAAAUCUGAAAUAUUAACGAGUACGCCGAUCAAGGAAGACCAAAAGCAGAAAUUUGAUAAAAAUAAAGUUAAGAAGGUUAAUAAAGGACUGAAUGAUAAAUCAACAAAAGUUCCUGUUAAGACUGUUCCUAAGAAAACUAAGACUGACAAGAAUAAGAAAAAAGCUAAACGGCCAAAGAAAAUUUAAAAAUUUAAGGAUAUUUUAUGCUUUUUUUGCGGCGAAAUUUACAUUGAAGAAGAUGAUAAUCCUAUUGAAAAUUGGAUUCGAUGUGAUAUUUGUCAACAAUGAUGUCACGAAGAAUGUUUCGCAUUCGAUGGCACGGAAGGGUAUAUUUGUGAUAACUGCCAAUCUUAAUUUUCUAAUUAUUUACUUUUCCCGAGUACUGUAUCCGCUUUGCCCAAGGGUCCGGGCAAAACGAAUACUUUCGUACAUUUUUGAAUUUUAUUUCCAGUUAAUAUUUGUUUAAUUAUUUAGGUUAAUUGAUGACAGUAUUUGUAAGAGCAAUUAAUAAAGGCCGAUUUGUACUAGUUAUUUUGUUUUUAUACCUUAUACCUUUUCUGCUAAUCUUAAAUAUCUUAAGGUAUCCACUUUGCCCGGCCUUCCCCUACAUGCGGCCGGGUAUAAAAGAAGCGCGCGCGGCCGCGUACGAGUCACAACGCGACCGAGAGCGAUAACUGCGAGUGAUAUCGAAGCGAAUACAGUGAAUUGUGUGGCGCGGUGUUUGUGAUUAAGUGAUUUAGUGUUACAGUAGUUCACGUGCUGUUGUGUUUGUGUUAGUGAAGUGUGCUUUUAUUUUAAAGUCUCAUCGGUAUUUACAUAUUCAAUUCUUAUAACAUUCUUUUCAACCAUAUCUUUAAGAAAAUGUACUUGUUUAGGGGGUGCUCUGGUGUAGUGUGUGUGCUAAGAGUCCGGGUUCACACAAUAAAGACACUCUUUCACAUAAAACCAAUAUUUAUUAUUAGCACUAGUAACACUACAGUCCACGGGGGGUAAUCUUCAUACAAGGUUUACGUGGGUUUUAUUAUCUGUGCUCAACUAUAAUGCGUGACAGUUUCUUCCCCUCCUCCUUUCAUACUUCUCGCCAUUUUCGUCCACCGUCGCAUGGGCAACCAUGUUGUUUUUUGUGAUCUGUCAAAUCUCAAUAAUUAUCUGUCAAACGUCAUUACAGUUUUAAAGUUAGUCAAGUGAAGUUUUGCGUUGAUUAAAUUCCGUAACUUAUUCUCUUAAUUUCUAAAGCUGUAAUAGCGCGUUUUUUAAGUUGGUCGAGUGAAGUUUUGCGUUGAUUCAAUUCCGUAACUUAUCCUCCCAGUUUUUGAACCUGCAAUCGUGUUUUGAAACAAUGUUUAAUCAUUGUUGCGUUGAGUACUGUGAUAGUAAACGAAAGGACAUCAACCUUUAUAGGUUUCCAAAAAGUGAAAUAAUGUCCCAAAAGUGGUUGGAAUGUAUUAAUUCGGAUUCAUUGCGAACCUUGAACACUCAAGAUCUUCGCAAGCAGUAUGUGUGUCGAAAACAUUUUGUAAAAACAUUUUUUACCUCGUCGGGUCAGAGAUCUCGUCUACGUAGCGAUGCAUAUCCAACGAUAUUCAAUCAUGGGACUACAAUGAUAAUACCUGAUGAAGCCAAUAAUGUCAAUGAUGAGCAUAAUUAUAUGAAAAAAAGAAUGCACAUGGAUCAUACCUAUUGUAAACCACAUGUAACAGAGAAACGAAGAAGAAUUGGAGGUGAAAUGUGUACCAUGCCAUCUGCAUCUUAUAUUGAAAAAGUAACUAUUGGGAAACCAACUGUUUCAUCCAUCCACUCUGUAUUGAAACCACGAAGGCAUGCUCUUUUGAUCAAAAAAAGACACACACCUUUGACUUUAAAAAUAUCAAGGGAAUAUAAUUUGUCCAAAAAUGAAGAUAAUUUUAAGAAACGGGCUAAAAGAGCCAUCAAGUUUUCAAGACAUUUAAGUAUAAUUAAAUGCCUAGAAAAACUUAAUCCAUUGGCACAAAAGUUUUUAUGGAUGCAGAUAAAUCUAUGUAAAAAAAAAGCCAGAGGACGUCGAUUCACUGAUGAUGAAAAGUUAUUAGCUAUGACUAUUAUGAAGCAAAGUCCAAAGUGCUAUAAAUUUCUGCAAAAAAUAUUUAUUUUACCAUCAAAAUAUACAUUAAAUAAAAUGAUCACAAAUUUAAAUGUUGAAGCUGGCAUAAAUGAACAAAUUUUUGAAGCUGUAAAGCAAGAGAUAGUGUGAUAAUAAUCAAUGGGCACAGACUAAGCGUAAUAUAUGACCCACCGCACCUAUUGAAAGGUAUAAGAAAUAAUUUUUUAACAAAAAACAUAGAAUUGAAUGGAAACAUUUCAACAUGGAAAGACAUAAUUGAAGUUUAUAAAACUGAUUGCCAUCAUGCCGAAAUGAGGUUGUUACAUAAAUUGAAUGAUGAACAUGUCAUUCCAGAAAAAAUUAAAAAGAUGAAGGUAUGAAUAUGUUUUACUUUAUUAUUCAAUGACUUUCAUUUUAUCACAUUGUGUCCUAUCAUGCAACUAAUUAUUGCUCCCUCUAAUUCAAUGAACACCAAAAUAGUGGUAUCAUCUCAGUUUAGCUGAUGCAUUACUACUGUCUGUGGAAUAGCUUUGCAUCUUCAAGUUAUGUAGAGAAUUCUUUGAUGUAGAAAUGAGUAAACUUUUAUGUACUUGGGAUCUUGGGAUUUAAAAAAAAACAAAUCUAAUCAUAAUAAUAUAAGCAAACUAAUUGGUUGUAUUUUUAUCACCAAAUUAGCAUAUUUAUAAUGUAUAGCAUUGGUUCCAUCACACUUUUCUAAGGCAUUUAGCCAAAUGUUUUCCUAUUUGUACUUUACCUUACCUUACCUUACCACCAAUUGAUACGGGACUAUGGAACCAGACUUGUGUAUAUUAUAUUGUUAGAUAUCUUCAGCUUAUAGCUAAAUAUUAUUUUAAUUUCAUGUAAAAAAUGCUACUAGAGUAUUUAGCAAGACAAUGGCAGCUACUUUAUCAUAUUCUGCUCAGUUUUGUAAGUAUAUGAUAUUACCUAUAUUCAGAAUUUGAAAAUAAGUAUUUAGUGGCUAAUAUUUUCCUAAUAUGCUUUUAAGAAUGAUUAAUCUGUUCCUCUCAACUAUAACCCCCUAAGACAACAUUCACUUAUAGUAUAAUAAUAUAAGGCCAACAAGCCUAAUUAUUUAUUUAUUUAAUAUUAUUAUUAAAUAUAAGUAAUAUAUAAGUACACGGUUAUUUAAUUAAUCUGAAUGAUUUACUAAUUUUCUUUUAUUUCUAGCUCAUUAUGCUGACGGAAAAACUGUCAGCACUACGUUAAAAAAUACAGCAGACAUAAUUUCAUUUAUGGAUGAUCUAUUUGACUCCGUGAACGGCGCAAAUACGAAAAAUAGGGGCAAACCACUUCGACAAGCGGUAACAGAUAAAUCGCCCCACAUUGCAUUUUGGCAAGAAGCUAUAAAAAAAAUUGAAAAUUUAAAAUUUGUUGAUAAUUGUAGGUAAAAAAGUGUCUGUGCCUUCAUUGAAAAAUUGGGUCACUACCCUUAAAAGUUAUCAGAGUGUGGCAAUAUUUAAAAAGUAAACAUAUUAAUAUUAUGCGCCCGCGAUACUUUAACUCUGAUCCCAUUGAAAACUUUUGGACAGGUGCGAGCGUAUAACUUUCGAAAUAAUAAUUUAAAUUGUCACACUUUCAAAAGCACCUUUAAGUCACUCUUAAUCACAAGGUUUAUAAAAUUUCACUCUGAGACAUUUAAUUGUGAAGAGGAUUCAGGUGAACAAUUAUUAAAAGUAAAAUCGUUAUUUAAUAUUAUGAACAACACUAAAAAAAAUAAUAUUGUAAAUAUAGAUUCACCUGAAUCCUCUGGGUCUCAGAAUACAUCAGAAAAUAUUAUAACAUCAGAAAAGUUAGAAAGAAUUAAUGUUCACUCACAUGCAUUUACUACUGGGUGGGUUGUAAAAAAAAUUCUAAAAAAAAUUGAUUGUAAAAAGUGUAAAGAUAAUUUGACUUGCAAGGAAUCCAAUUAUGAAACUAAUUCCAUUAAUCAUUGGAUUUCUUGCAAGGAAUUUAAAAAUAUGAAGAAUCCUCGAAAAUUGACCUACCCAUCGGAGUAUGCCGUGAGGUUUUUUAAAAAUAUCACUGUAGAGUCGAUUAAGUAUUUAGAAACCAAACCACAUGUGGAAAAAGUAAUAGAAAGUUUAAAAAAUAUUAUAAAGUCAAAGUAUGUAUUUGAAUCGCUAGAGUGUCAUAUACACAAAGAAAAGGUGUUAGAAUAUUUUCUUGAUUUAACUUUGCGAUUAACAGUGUUUAAUUGGUGCAAUACAAUUAAUAAAAUUUUAAAAGGCACGGAUAUUUUUCGCCUGCAAAAUAAAAAAUUGCCUAAUAUGCAAAUGAAAGCAUAUAAUAAAUAUUUAACAAGAUUAAGAAAUAAAUCUCGUC
This 7690-nucleotide unclassified non-coding RNA is filed under the name Manduca sexta (tobacco hornworm). Its description in RNAcentral is "uncharacterized LOC115454667, transcript variant X2". The record is from RNAcentral. Lineage: Eukaryota; Metazoa; Arthropoda; Insecta; Lepidoptera; Sphingidae.